CCCCUAGAUGUUCUGGGCCGCACGCGCGCUACACUGAACAGGUCAACAAGUCUUAACCUUGGCCGAUAGGUCUGGGUAAUCUUUGAACGCUGUUCGUGAUUGGGAUAGACCUUUGCAAUUAUGGGUCUUCAACGAGGAAUUCCUAGUAAACGCAAGUCAUCAGCUUGCAUUGAUUACGUCCCUGCCCUUUGUACACACCGCCCGUCGCACCUACCGAUUGAAUGGUCCGGUGAAAUCUCGGGACGGCGGCUUGGUCGCUUGCGUCCGACUGCUGAAACUUGAUUAAACCAUAUCAUUUAGAGGAAGGUGAAGUCGUAACA
RNAcentral lists this ribosomal RNA (320 nucleotides) under uncultured eukaryote. Its description in RNAcentral is "partial 18S ribosomal RNA". It matches the Rfam family "Eukaryotic small subunit ribosomal RNA", at positions 1470 to 1796 of the family's 1831-position model. The record is from RNAcentral.